RNAcentral lists this ribosomal RNA (234 nucleotides) under uncultured bacterium. RNAcentral's name for it is "partial 16S ribosomal RNA". It matches the Rfam family "Bacterial small subunit ribosomal RNA", at positions 102 to 334 of the family's 1533-position model. The record is from RNAcentral.
CCACGGGUGAGUAACACGUAUCCAACCUGCCGUCUACUCUUGGACAGCCUUCUGAAAGGAAGAUUAAUACAAGAUGGCAUCAUGAGUCCGCAUGUUCACAUGAUUAAAGGUAUUCCGGUAGACGAUGAGGAUGCGUUCCAUUAGAUAGUAGGCGGGGUAACGGCCCACCUAGUCUUCGAUGGAUAGGGGUUCUGAGAGGAAGGUCCCCCACAUUGGAACUGAGACACGGUCCAA